GGCGGACGGGUGAGUAAUGUAUAGGAACUUGCCUAUAGUGGGGGACAACGUGUGGAAACGCACGCUAAUACCGCAUACGCUCUACGGAGGAAAGCGGGGGAUCUUCGGACCUCGUGCUAUAGAUGGGCCUAUAUGGAUAGCUAGUUGGUAAGGUAAAGGCUUACCAAGGCGACGAUCCAUAGCUGGUUUGAGAGAAUGAUCAGCCACACUGGGACUGAGACACGGCCCAG
This 230-nucleotide ribosomal RNA is filed under the name uncultured bacterium. Its description in RNAcentral is "partial 16S ribosomal RNA". It matches the Rfam family "Bacterial small subunit ribosomal RNA", at positions 97 to 334 of the family's 1533-position model. The record is from RNAcentral.